ACUGAAGAAGGGGAUUAUCAGGUAAAACUACGCAACCUGGUACGUUUCCUUGAAGGCGGGGACCGCGGCAAAAUCACUAUCCGCUUCCGUGGCCGUGAGAUGGCACACCAGGAAAUUGGUAUGAAGCUCAUGGAACGCAUCGAAGCAGAUAUUGAUUCGCUGGCUCAGGUCGAAAUGCGGCCGAAAAUGGAAGGCCGGCAGAUGACCAUGAUUGUGGCUCCCCGCAAAAAGAAGUGAAUCUGACUCAAUGAUUCAUCCCCUGCACCAAGCGGGGGAUUUGUCGUUCAGGUUCACAUUGAUGUAUCUAAAAACAGAAUGCGGAGUUUUAAAAAAUGUCUA
This 339-nucleotide unclassified non-coding RNA is filed under the name Marinobacter antarcticus. Its description in RNAcentral is "Long range pseudoknot". Lineage: Bacteria; Pseudomonadati; Pseudomonadota; Gammaproteobacteria; Pseudomonadales; Marinobacteraceae. The record is from RNAcentral.